GAAACUAACAAGGAUUCCCCUAGUAACGGCGAGUGAACCGGGAAGAGCUCAAAUUUGAAAUCUGGCGUCCUCAGGGCGUCCGAGUUGUAAUCUAUAGAGGCGUUUUCCGUGCCGGACCGUGUCCAAGUUCCUUGGAACAGGAUAUCAAAGAGGGUGACAAUCCCGUACUUGACACGACGACCGGUGCUCUGUGAUACGUCUUCUACGAGUCGAGUUGUUUGGGAAUGCAGCUCAAAAUGGGUGGUGAGUUCCAUCUAAAGCUAAAUAUUGGCGAGAGACCGAUAGCGAACAAGUACCGUGAGGGAAAGAUGAAAAGCACUUUGGAAAGAGAGUUAAACAGUACGUGAAAUUGUUGAAAGGGAAACGAUUGAAGUCAGUCGUGACCGAGAGGCUCAGCCGGUUCUGCCGGUGUAUUCCCCUCGGUCGGGUCAACAUCAGUUUUGUCCGGUGGAUAAGGACGGUAGGAAGGUGGCACCCUCGGGUGUGUUAUAGCCUGCCGUCGCAUACAUCGGGUGAGACUGAGGAACGCAGCUCGCCUUUAUGGCCGGGGUUCGCCCACGUCCGAGCUAG
RNAcentral lists this ribosomal RNA (570 nucleotides) under Papiliotrema laurentii. Its description in RNAcentral is "eukaryotic LSU rRNA". It matches the Rfam family "Eukaryotic large subunit ribosomal RNA", at positions 61 to 610 of the family's 3401-position model. Lineage: Eukaryota; Fungi; Basidiomycota; Tremellomycetes; Tremellales; Rhynchogastremaceae. The record is from RNAcentral.